AUUGAACGCUGGCGGCAUGCUUUACACAUGCAAGUCGAACGGUAACAGGCCGCAAGUUGCUGACGAGUGGCGGACGGGUGCGUAAUGCAUCGGAACGGGUCCAGUCCUGGUGGAUAACUACUCGCAAGAGUAGCUAAUACCUCAUACGAGCUAUGAUUUAAAGCGGGGGACCGUAAUGCCUCGCGCGAUUGUUGCGGCCCCUUUUAGAUGAGGUAGUUGGUGGGGUAAGGGCUGGCCAAGUCAACGAUUUGUAGCUGGUCUGAGAGUACGAGCGGCCACACUGGAACUGAGACACGGCCCAGACUCCUACGGGAGGCAGCAGUGGGGAAUUUUCGGCAAUGGGCGCAAGCCUGAUCCAGCAAUGCCGCGUGCAGGAUGAAGGCCUUCGGGUUGUAAAACUCUUUUAUAAGGAACGAAAAGGCUCGGGUUAAUCCACGGAGCUAAUGACGGUACCGUAAGAAAAAGCCCCGGCUAACUACGUG
RNAcentral lists this ribosomal RNA (482 nucleotides) under uncultured bacterium. RNAcentral describes it as "partial 16S ribosomal RNA". It matches the Rfam family "Bacterial small subunit ribosomal RNA", at positions 30 to 507 of the family's 1533-position model. The record is from RNAcentral.